This is a non-coding RNA of Cajanus cajan (pigeon pea), 2187 nucleotides long. The record is from RefSeq and is a predicted model, not a curated record. NCBI's taxonomy places the organism in Eukaryota, Viridiplantae, Streptophyta, Magnoliopsida, Fabales, Fabaceae.
UUGAUAUUCUCAUCUUUCUUCUUCAAAUAUAACAUUCGGAUUCUUUUCUUCACAUAGAAUCCCUAUUUUCUAUUAUUGCUUCGAAUUCUUAUUGAAUUCAUAGUUCUGGUAAUAACAGGUUCCACCUUCUCAGCGCAUUUUCCCCGUGUCAGAAUCUUCAUUAGGGUUUGUGAAAGAAUCAUGUCGCUGGAGACACCAUGUCGUGAUUCAAGCUCUGUCGUCACGAGGCCCGCUCAUGGAGAAGGACUUGCACUCCAUGUUUGAAGAACUCACCAAGAGAAACCCAGGGCUUUUGGAAAACAACAGAUUGAAGCAAUAGUACAAGAUGCCUCUGCAAACGGUGUUAGCUCCAGCAUUCGUGCUCUCAAUCUUAGUUUGGAUGGUCAGGUUUAUGCCAUUUGGAAAAUGCAUGCAUUGAGGCACUAUUCUCUUUCUUGUUCCUUGUUCUGAAGUCCAAUAAAACGGUAGACAGGUAUAGACUCAAACUUGAACUUUGGUGCAAACCUAUUGUUAUAAAAAGCUUAUGUUCAACUUCAUGAAUUUGCAUGCAUAUAUAUUUUAAAGUUUGAAUUCAUGCAAUACAAACUCCAUUAUUAUGAAGAGCCUUCCUCCGAACUUGUUGUUUUGGUCGCAUAUUUUAGGCCUUUUUCUAAGAAUCUAAAUCAUCGAAGACCAUUUGCAUUACAGUUCUUAUGGAUUACAUUUUAAAUUUCCAUCAAAACCUAUAGUAGAUACAUCAUCUCUGUGAUGUAAAACCAAAUAGAUUCUGUGAUGCAAGUCUUUUAUCUUAAUAUAUAAUCAUUAAUUUCUUACAAUUUCAUUGUUUGACUCAAGCUAAGUUAUACCUUCUCACCUAAACACAUCCAAAAUUCAAUAUGCAUGUCGUUUGAUCCAACUAGUUUACCAUUUUUCAUCAUCUUUAGCGCUUAUUUUACCUGUUUGUAUAGUUUUGUUGCAAUGAAAUUUAUAAGCUUGGUCAUUUUUUCUAGUGGUUAAACUCUCUAAUGACUGUUGUUUCUGUUUUUUUUUAUUUUUUAUUCUUUUUUUGUUAGAGUAUUGAAAACACUAGUCAUAUUUUUCUAGUGUAUUAUAUGAUUUGCAGUCCACCCUCCCCCAAACCACCACUACCACCACAAAAAAGUAAAAAAAAGAAAAAUAACAACUGUCUAUAUCUAUAUACACAGUUGGAGAAUAAGGUUGCAGUUGCGUCAGAUCCACAAUCUCAAGGAGGCCAGCCAAAUGUCCCAUCAUCAUUGAAGAAUUUCAGUUUGUCUCAAAAGGAAAAACCCUGCAAGAACUAGUGCGGGACCAGUGGCUUAACUUAACAACAGAUGGUAUUAUUAAACUUGGUUUGAACUUUGAAGUCAUUCCUUGAUCUUCGUAGUUGGUUCUGGAACAAUGAUGUUACAUCCUGUCAUGUAUGCAAUGAAGGCAGAGUUAUGCCAAAAUGAAAACUGUACUGUACGGAUUCAUCAGUACUGCCUGAAGCAACUUUUCUUGCAGAGAAAGGUUGCAAAAGUUUGCCCAACUUGUGGCUGGCACUGGAUGGCCAUAUACGGUACCCAAGGCAGAGGCCGUGCAGACUGAAGAUGACAAUGAACCUAGAGGAAGCCAACAAGUGACUAGUUCUGAACGAAAGAGGCAUAGAGCCAAUAGAAUAGGGUUGUUGAUGAUGUUGGAUGCAGCAAUCAGGAUGAGCUGAAUGAUGGUAGAGAAAGCCAGCAUGGUAAUGAAUUGGUACGGAAAAGGGGCAGAGCACGCAGAACUGAGGAUGCAGAUAUAGGAGGUUCUGGUGCAUUUCAAUCUUUGGCAGCUAUUUCUGGUUCGAGAAGAGUAACUAGAAACUCUGCUCGUCUGAUGUAAAUCAACAACGGUGCCCUUCUUUUACUGCUGCUAGGUAUAUUUUGCUGCUGACUGUUGUAAUUUAUGCUGAACUUUUGUGGAUAUGUGAAUGGGUUCUUUAGUAAUGCAGUUAGCUAGUUUUAGUGACUAUUUUUAAUCAGCAAUCUUAUUAUGUUAGGUUGACCUGUGGCUUGAAACGCCAACCUUCUAGUACAGAAUACCUACAUGUAAAUUUGUGUUAGUGCCAAAGUAUCAUAUUAGAGUCAUGUUGAGGUAGUGGCAUUAUUAUUUUGCUCAGCUUUGAUAUUUAAUUGUUUUUUUAUAACCGUGUUUCGAUAUUUAAUU